This 287-nucleotide unclassified non-coding RNA is filed under the name uncultured fungus. RNAcentral's name for it is "partial contains small subunit ribosomal RNA, internal transcribed spacer 1, and 5.8S ribosomal RNA". The stretch from base 1 to 73 matches the Rfam family "Eukaryotic small subunit ribosomal RNA", at positions 1759 to 1831 of the family's 1831-position model. Lineage: Eukaryota; Fungi. The record is from RNAcentral.
GCAAACUUGGUCAUUUAGAGGAAGUAAAAGUCGUAACAAGGUUUCCGUAGGUGAACCUGCGGAAGGAUCAUUAUCGAGUAUUGGAAUUUCGGUUCCUACUCCCACCCUUUGUUUACCAAAAUUCUGUUGCUUAGGCGGACCCCUUUGGGUUCCCAACAUUGGCUUAGGCUGAUGAGUGUCCGCCGAAGAAAAUUUUAAAUCUUCUAAUUUGAAGUCUGAGAAGUCUUGAAUGAAAUAAAACUUUCAACAACGGAUCUCUUGGUUCUGGCAUCGAUGAAGAACGCAGC